This 7912-nucleotide long non-coding RNA is filed under the name Citrus sinensis (sweet orange). RNAcentral's name for it is "long non-coding RNA (CSIN_LNC002623)". The record is from RNAcentral. Lineage: Eukaryota; Viridiplantae; Streptophyta; Magnoliopsida; Sapindales; Rutaceae.
AACUACAAGCGGAGAUGGUAAAAAACAAUACAAUAGGAAGUCCGAGUUGUUGAGCAGCUGUUAUGGUGAAAGGCAAGAAGCCAUCUGAGAUGAUGCAGCUGACAGCAGGAUUAACGCUAUUUGAAGAAUCAUUGAGUUUGGCAAGCAGGUCAAGAAAUGGAUGCAACAAGACAUUAUUUAUGAUGUUUUCACCGAGAGAAUACGCGUCUUGAGCAGUGGGGCUUUCAUCUGAAGAAGCUGGAAGCCCAUCUGGGAUUGCUUCGAAUCGAAAACUGGGCAAGCCAUCUAAAGAAUGUUGGCCUCUUGCUUUGAGUAAGCGUCUGUGAUUGAACUCUGUGUUGACAAAAGUUAUGUGAAAACCUUUGUGAUGAAGAAGCUUUGCCAGUUUAAGCAUUGCUUUUAUGUGGCUUUGAAAGGGGCUCGGGAUGCAGACCGCAUGAACCUUGCUACAAGCUUUAGGUUUUGAUUCCAUCUUGAUCUCUUCUCUCUCUAGGCCUCUGCAACUAGUGAUCACCCUUCCAUUUUUUCUUAGCCACGAGUUAAAUAUCCAUUAUCCAAUAGGACUUGACUAGCCUACAGAAUCUGUAAGCUACAGACUGCAGCAUCAGCCGUUGGAUGUGGAGCGAGAAACUAAACAAUAGAAGAUCCAUCAGCCGUUGGAUGUGGAGCUACAGACUGCAGCAUCAGCCGUUGGAUGUGGAGCGAGAAACUAAACAAUAGAAGAUCGGAUGGUGGGAUGACGGGAGAUGUUUGUUACAGAAUCUGUACCAUAGACAGGUCCUAUCCAAUAUAAUUUUCAUUUUAUUUUGUUUUUCCCACCGUCCAUUGAAGCCCGACUGAGCGAGACUUUGUCAUUAAAUAAUGUUUCACUCAUUGAUCAAUUUAAUUAUAUGUUUUUUCAAAUUUAAUAUUAUUCAAUAUAGCGAAAUUUUAUUUAAAGAAUCUCGAUUAUGUGUCUUUUAAAAUUAUUAUUUCUGAUGUAACGAAGUGAAAUCACUCAUAAAGAAUUUUUUAUAAUUGCACUUGCACUCAGUUUUAUGUUCUAAAUGAUAUAUCUAACUCAUCACCCAUGGAAAAAAUUGUAAAAUUAAAAACAGCAUGACAAAUAUUAUUGAUAGAUGAUGAGUUUUUUAGAUGCAAUAAUAAUUUUUUUAAAUGCUUGUAAGUUGUAACAUCAAAGUGGUAUAUUUAUAUUGGAGUUGUGGAUUCCAGUGCAUUAUGUUUAUAAUAAAAACUAACCGUAUCAUAUUUGUCUUGCCUAAUUCUAUCUUAAUCAUAUUGAUUUGAUUAGAUCUAGUCAGCGAUUGUUUCUUUAUAAAAGAAAGUGGACAAAUGAGUCUAAUUGGAUCUUAAUGGCAUUAAUUUGAUUAGAUCUAAUCAACGAUUUUUUUAUUUAUAAUAAAAAUAACUGGACAAAUGAUACACAUUAAAGAUACUGGAAUUACAAAAUCGAUCUGUAAUAAUAAUUUGUCCACAUGCUAUAUUAAAUUUGAAAACUAUAAUUAAAUUGGUCGAUAUGAAUGAAACAUUAGUCAAUACAUUAUUCAAUGGCAGAGUCUCGCUAGUCGGAUAUGGAUGGUGGGAAAAAUAAAAUAAAAUGAAAAAUAUUUAAUUAAAUUAUUUAUUUAAUUUGUUUAAACUAUAAACUAAGAGAAAUAUUUAUUUAGUUGAGGUACUUAAUUUACAUCGAAUUGGUAUGUUAUUAAUGAAAUUUUUUAUAAGGUACAAUAAUUCAUUAUCACUUGAACCAAUCAAAUAAUGACACAUUGUUUACUAUAAUUAUUAGAUACACUAUGUAUCAUAAUUAAAUAAAUAUAACAUUAUUGACAAACUAAACUACUCCGAUGUGGCUUUUAUUUAGCUUUAGUGAAUAUGUACCGUAUAUGAAAAACUAAUGAAAAUCAAUGAAGUGGGUUUGGGAUGCGUAGGGAUGACAAUAGGUAUCGCCUGCAAGGUAUCAUUACCAAAUUUAUAUCCAUACAAAGUUUAAAUUAUCAAACUCACCCUACUAUAUGUUUUAAUUUUUUUAAGAAAAUCCACCUGCUGCGGGUUUUGACAAUUACCAAACCCGCAAUGGUAUCCGGCGAUUAUUUUACGGGUUUCUACAUUUAAAAUCACAAAUGGUCAAAAUGUAAAUUUAUAAUAAUGACCUAUAAUUCCACAUAAAUGUAAAUGGAAAAUUAAAAUUUCAACAUCAAUCCAACACAAAUUCUCAAAUUUAAGUAUAAAAUACACAAAUCUAUAUAUAUAAAAAAAGCCACAAACUAGUAUCUAAACAUAAUAAUUAUCAUUUCAUAUUAUUAUUCAACACAAACUCCAAAAGAAGAUCUUCAUUUCGUUCACCACCACUAGCACCCAUCUAACACGAUUCCUACAAUAAUGAUUAAGAUUAAUAUUUUCUAAAGAAUAAUGCAUUUUAAAUGCUAAUCCAUGCAUUAAGUUAAAGAAAAUUCAAUCAUAAUUAUAAUAAGUAUAUUUUUAGAUUUAAAUAUUUUUCUAUUCCUACAAUUUGAAGAACAAAAUUAUAACAAUGAAAUAAUCCAUGCAUUAAGUUAACGAAAGUUCAAUCAGAAUUAUAAUAAGUAUAUUUUUAGAUUGAAAUAUUUUUCUAUUAAAAUUAAAUUAAAAAAUAAUUAAAAAAAUUACGGUUGGCGGAUAUCCAUACGGGUAUCCGUAGGAUAUUUGGGUAAUACUAAACCCAACCGCAACCUAGUGCAUAUUUUAAUUUAUAAUACCAAACCUGUCUACAACCCACAAAAUUACCUGAGCGGAUUUUGGCGGGUGGGUUUAAACGGAUUUGUAGGUACCAUUGCCAUCGCUAGGUAUGCGCAGCCAAAUCAGAUUUCUAAUUCAAAACUCGGAAUGCAACUUGCCCACGACUAAUUUCGUCAACUUUUGCUAGUUAGUCAAUUUAACAAAAUGAUUAAAUGACAACUUUCCCAUCUUAUCCAUUCGACCACCUUCAAUUUUCAUUUUCUUUUUCAUUAUAAGUAGUUCGCACAAGCUUUGAUGAAGUAAAUAAAGAAAAUGGAAGCUAAUACAUGUGGUUACAAGUCUCACGCAUUUUGUUUUCCUGGCCCAGGUCAAAGCCACUUAAACUCCAUGCUUCAAUUGGCAAAGCUUCUGCACCACCACAAACAGAGGCGGAUUUACCAUAGGAUCACUGGGGGCUCAAGCCCCCACGAAAAAAAAAUCUCUAUUUCAUAAAAAAAAUUAACAUAUUUUUAAAUAGUCUUGUUAAAUUAUUAGAUAGUUCCAUCCGUUAAAAUUUAAAUUAUUAUUUUAUUAAUUACAAAAGUUAUACUUUGAUUUAAAAAUCAAAACCCACAAACUAAAAUAUUUAUAGUUUUUAAUUAUUGAAUUGUGGAUGCUACAUUUUAACUAGAGAUUGCAGUAAAUAAAAAAAAAUUACAUUCAAGUUUUCAGUUUUUAUGUCUAAUUAUUAUUUAAUUUAGCCCACGGUAAAUUAUUUUUUUACAUCUAACCACAAAAGUUUCCGCAUAACUUCUGUAAACUUUGAGAUCGUACGCAAACGCUGUCUCGAAUCAAGCGGCCAUCCCUGGAAUCCAGUCCAUAACUGAGUCCAAAUACUCUUUUUUAAGACAGCUUUCAUCUGCAAAUUAAUUAACACAAUAACUGAAUUAAUUCUCAGCUUUUGACAAGUAAUUAAUAGGUAAUAUGACCACCAACCUGUGCGCUGGUAUGUUUGGAUUGAUGAAAUCAAAAAAGAGGAGAGGAGAGGAUUUGAGAAAAGUAGAAAUAAAUAAGGGAAGUAAAGAUGAUUCCAUGUUAAGCCAACUAAAUGAAAUUGAGAUUGACAUCCUCUUUUACUCAUUUUUUCUCCUACUCUCUCCUUUCUAUUCGUCUCUUCUCCUCCUAUGUUUUUCAACCAAACAAGCUAUUUUUAAAUACCCCAGACCCAGAGCAUGAAAAAUUAUAAUAGGAAUGUUGAAAUGUCCUAGUACGACAAAAAACUUGAAAUUUUUUUUACCUUUUAGUGGGAAAAGACCCUUUUCUUUCAGUGUCUGAAAUUGUUUAAGUCCCUUGAAACUGCAAGCGGAGAUUGUGAAAAACAAUGCACUAGGAAGUCCAAGUCGUUGAGCAGCUGUAAUGGUGAAAGCCAUGAAGUCAUCUGAGAUGAUGCAGCUGACUGCAGGGUUAACAUUAUUUGAAGAAUCACUGAGUUUGGCAAGCAGGUCAAGAAAUGGCUGCAGCAAGACAUCAUUUAUGAUGUUUUCACAGAGAGAAUACAUGUCUUGAGUAGUGGAGCUUUCAUAUGAAGAAGCUGGAAGGCCAUCUGGUAGGGGUGGGCACGGGUCCGAUUGAUUAUCAACCCGACCCAACCCGCAUGUAGAAUGGGUUGAAAAUUUUCAAUCCGACUCAACCUAUUACAUAUCUUGACCCAAUCCGUAGUUUUGCGAGUUGGGUCAGGUUGGGUUGAUUGGGUUGAACUUUUGAAAAAAUCUAUUUUUAUAAUCUAAUUAAAUAGUGAAUAAAAAUUAAUUAAUUAAUUAAAAAAACUAAAAAAUAUAAAUAUUAAAAUCUUUAGAACAAAUCCAACAUUUCAAAGUUUUUAUAUUUAUAUUUUUUAAUUUUUAUAUGAAAUAUCAAAAUUUAUAUAAUAAUUUUUACAUACAUACAGGUUGACCGGUUGGAUGAGGUUAAUUGAAUUGAGCUUUUGAAAAAAUCUAUUGUUAUAGUCUAAUUAAAUAGUGAACAAAAAUAAAUAAAUUAGAUAAACUUAAAAAAUGUAAAUAUUAAAAUCUUUAGAACUAAUCCAACAUUUCAAACUUUUCAUAUUUAUAUUUUUUAAUUUUUAUAUAAAAUAUCAAAGUUUAUAUAAUAAUUUAUAUAUGUAAAUAUAUAGGGGUUGACGGGUUGAGUUGAGUUAAAAAAUUUUAACCCAACCCAACCCGCAAAAAAUCACACGAGUUGGGUGGGUUGAUGCCCACCCCUACCAUCUGGGAUUGCUUCGAAUCGAAAAUUGGGCAAGCCAUCCAAAGAGUGGUGGCCUCUUGAUUUGAGAAAGCAUCUAUGAUUGAACUCUGUGUUGACACAAGUUAUGUGAAAGCCUUUGUGAUGAAGAAGCUUUGCCGAUUGAAGCAUUGCUUUUAUGUGGCUUUGAAAGGGGCUUGGGAUGCAGACUGCAUGAACCUUGCUACAAGCUUUUAGCUUUUGAUUCCAUCUUGAUCUCUUCUCUCUAUGUCUUUGCAAUUAAUGAUCUAAAAGUACUAAAACGAAAAGUAUUGCAUCUAACUAAACACUGAGUUCACUCACACAUUUACAACCUUUCUUACCUUAUUUAAUUUGGAGAGAGUUAAUGAGUACGUAUAUAUUAACUUAAAAAAAAAAUUAAAGUUGGUUGGUAUGAAUGGUUCAGCACCCUAAUUUCUUAAGAGAGGUCAAGGGUUCAAGCCCCGCUCUCAUAUGUACGUAUAUGUACUAAACUAAUUAAUUAAUGUGUGUAUAUACUAACCUAAUAAAAAGUAAUGUCUUUCCCAAAUAUCUCAUGAUUUUUCAAUAAGGGAAUUAAAUGCACUCAUGCCAUAAGUCGGGUGGUGAACACUCUUUCCUCUAUGGUGGAGGUAUAAUUAAGCUGGAGUGUCUACGAGGGACUCAUCCUAUCUCAUAAAUAUCAUUUGAGUAGGAUAAAUCACGUUUGUAUAUAUGAUCUAGGUAGACCUCUAAAUUAUACUAAUGCAAAGAUAUUGCCAUAUAAAAUUGAAGUAAAAACAAAAACUUACGAAUCACCUUACCAGUAAUUCAGGUAGAACUAAUAGCACAUUCACAUGCAUGGAAUAUAUAGCACAUAUAUAUGUCAACUAAUAAAACUUUAAUAACUAACCAAUUUGGAUUUGAGAGAGAAAGGAGCUAUACAAUAAUGUAAAAUGAUGAGUUUUUAGAAUGAUAAACUUCAAUUUACACUCUAUUUAGAAUGAUAAUUUGUAAUUAACCUCAAAAAUGGGAAAAUUUUAUUUUACCUCAUUUACUGUUAAGAAGACAAAAAGAAAAAAAAAAUCAUCAACGUGUCUCUUAUUUCUCCUCAUCUUUUAGUUUACGUUUUGGGUUGUUGAUGAAGACUUCGUUUCCCAAGACCAAAAUACUCACUGGCUCAAACUGAUUAUGUUUUAACUAUUGAACGUUGAUUGAUAAUAAAAUGUGGGUGCAUGUCAAUUGGUGGUUCAAUGGGUAAAAUCCGUUAAAUCUCCAAUGGUGGUAUGAGAAGGUUACUCAUAUUUGAGGAGAGGAUUUUGGUUACAAGAAGUGGACUGUCCUUUGAGAAAAAAACAUUCAACAUAUUAACAUAAUUCUUAUUAAUCUUAUGCACUAAUACUCACCAACAAUUAUUUUAAAAAUGAUAAGAAGACCAAGCUCUCAUAAUGCAGUACAACAAUGAAAACAUUUAAUUUACACUCCUCAUUGGAUGCAUUAGUUUUUGGACGGUAUGAGCCCUUCUGAUAAAAGAACUUGGUUCAUCAAUUUUUCCAAAUUUGUUGCAGAGGAUCCAUCAGGAGCUGUAGCUUCCUCUGCAAAUCUCUUCCACUUUGAGGCCUUGUUUCUCAUUUGCUUACCUUUCUCUCCCCCCAUCAAUUCUCUCACCUGCUUCUCAACCUCAUUUCUACUCACUCGAUUAUCAUCUCCACCAUUAAUGAUCUCCAGUCCAACUCCCCACUCGUUGCAAGUGUAUCUACAAUUUGUGGGUUGAUCUCCCAAAAAAGGCCAACAGAUCAUCGGCACACCAGCACAUAAACUCUCAAUCGUUGAAUUCCAUCCACUGUGAGUAAAGAAUCCUCCGAUCGCUGGGUGGUUCAGAACCUCCUCUUGUGGACACCAACUUGCUAUGAAACCUUUCUCUUUAGCUUUAACCUCAAACUCAGCUGGCAAGUCGGCCGUCUCACCAGUAACAAGAUCAGGCCUAAUUAUCCAUAAAAAUGGGUGAUUGCUAUUUACGAGUCCCAUUGCAACCUCAAUAAGUUGCUGCUUAUUCAUAAUUAUAAUACUUCCGAAAUUUACAUAAAUCACAGAGUUGGGUUCCUUGGAAUCGAGCCAUUGCAAACACUCUGUUUCUUCUUUCAAUAGAUUGUAACCAAUAUAGUUUAACAUACCAUCUUUUUCUUCUAUUUGAUUGAGAAGAAGCUGAAGUGGGCCGAUGGUGAAUAACUGAAGAGGAAAAAUAAAUGAGAGAGCAUUUAGAACUUGUUGUUCCAAUGCAUCGAACGUAUGAAUAAUAAUUGCUGAAGCUUUGGAUGCAUUUUCCGUUGCUUCCACGCACAAGUUGAACAUAAUGUCUUUUGAAUCAGUCGAUCGAACAAAACUUGGAAGAUCUCUAAUUCGGAUAUCCUUCAUCCCUGGAAUCCAGUCUAUAAGUCUGCUCAAAUACUCCUUCGUAAGACAGCUUUUGUCUGCAAGUGCACAAAACCGAAUUAUAUUUUUGCUUCCGUCUGCAUUCAUAUUUAUACUUGAUCGCCAGUGAUUCUAUGUCACAGCUACUAAAGAUAACAUGAAAAAACAUUGAAACUUUGAUUCCAGAAAAAGGAAAAAGAAAAAAGAAAAAUACCAUUGACUGGGAAAAGACCUUUUUCUUUGAAUGUCCGGAAUUGUUUAAAUCCCAUGAAGCUACAAGCGGAGAUGGUGAACAACAGUACAAUAGGAAGUCCAAGCUGCUGAGCAGCUGUAACGGUGAAAGGCAAGAAGCCAUCUGAGAUGAUGCAGCUGACUGCAGGAUUCACAAUAUUUGAAGAAUCGUUGAGUUUGGCAAGCAGGUCAAGAAAUGGAUGCAACAAGACAUUAUUCAUGAUGCUUUCACAGAGAGAAUACAUGUCUUGAGUAGUGGAGCUUUCAUCUGAAGAAGCUGGAAGGCCAUCUGGGAUUGCUUCGAAUCGAAAGUUGGGCAAGCCAUCCAAAGAGUGUU